GCAGAUGGGGAACAUCAAGGGACCCUGGAAGGUCUUUUGAUGUAAGCAGAGAAGCAAUGGCUCCAAGAAGGAUGUCAGCUAGUAUGAGGGAAGUAGAGAUGGAUGUUCAGAGAAGAGAUUUCAAUUUGGGAAUCAGAGUGCCAGAAGAAGGUAUGGGAGAUUCUCAGGAGGAUGCUCAAACUCAGGAUUCCAGAAUUUCAGGUUCAGGAGGGAUUGAUCCCUCCACUCUGAGUACAGCCGCCACUAGAAGAGUGAAGUGGGGCAGAACCCUUAGGGGUAAGAAGAAGAAGUUUUGGCAGAAUUUGAAGGCUAGUUUGGGUUUUGGUGGCUCAAGCUUUGGCUCAGGC
Molecule: long non-coding RNA, 347 nt
Filed under: Manihot esculenta (cassava)
Lineage: Eukaryota; Viridiplantae; Streptophyta; Magnoliopsida; Malpighiales; Euphorbiaceae
Description: long non-coding RNA (MESC_LNC012575)
Source: RNAcentral